RNAcentral lists this microRNA (23 nucleotides) under Lottia gigantea (owl limpet). RNAcentral's name for it is "Lgi-Mir-29-P2_5p* (star (passenger))". The record is from RNAcentral. Lineage: Eukaryota; Metazoa; Mollusca; Gastropoda; Lottiidae.
UCUGCUUUCAAAUGAUGUAUAGA